RNAcentral lists this ribosomal RNA (464 nucleotides) under uncultured bacterium. RNAcentral's name for it is "SSU rRNA". It matches the Rfam family "Bacterial small subunit ribosomal RNA", at positions 26 to 523 of the family's 1533-position model. The record is from RNAcentral.
AGAAUCAACGCUGGCGGCGUGCCUAACACAUGCAAGUCGCACGAGAAAGGGACUUCGGUCCUGAGUACAGUGGCGCACGGGUGAGUAACACGUGAAUUAUCUACCUCCGAGUGGGGAAUAACUGAGAGAAAUCUUAGCUAAUACCGCAUAACACUUACGAGUCAAAGCAGCAAUGCGCUUGGAGAGGAGUUCGCGGCAGAUUAGUUAGUUGGCGGGGUAAUGGCCCACCAAGACGAUGAUCUGUAUCCGGCCUGAGAGGGCGCACGGACACACUGGAACUGAAACACGGUCCAGACUCCUACGGGAGGCAGCAGUGGGGAAUUUUGCGCAAUGGGGGAAACCCUGACGCAGCAACGCCGCGUGGAGGAUGAAAUAUCUUGGUAUGUAAACUCCUUUCGAUGGGGAAGAUAAUGACGGUACCCAUAGAAGAAGCCCGGCUAACUUCGUGCCAGCAGCCGCGGUAA